This 768-nucleotide ribosomal RNA is filed under the name uncultured bacterium. RNAcentral describes it as "bacterial SSU rRNA". It matches the Rfam family "Bacterial small subunit ribosomal RNA", at positions 8 to 775 of the family's 1533-position model. The record is from RNAcentral.
AGAGUUUGAUCAUGGCUCAGGAUGAACGCUAGCGGCAGGCCUAACACAUGCAAGUCGAGGGGUAGGGUUAGCUUGCUAACCUGAGACCGGCGCACGGGUGCGUAACGCGUAUGCAAUCUACCUUGUACAGAGGGAUAGCCCAGAGAAAUUUGGAUUAAUACCUCAUAGUAUUAUCGAAUGGCAUCAUUUGAUUAUUAAAGUUCCAACGGUACAAGAUGAGCAUGCGUCCCAUUAGUUAGUUGGUAAGGUAACGGCUUACCAAGACGAUGAUGGGUAGGGGUCCUGAGAGGGAGAUCCCCCACACUGGUACUGAGACACGGACCAGACUCCUACGGGAGGCAGCAGUGAGGAAUAUUGGACAAUGGGCGCAAGCCUGAUCCAGCCAUGCCGCGUGCAGGAUGAAGCAUCUAUGGUGUGUAAACUGCUUCUAUACAGGAAGAAACCCUACCACGUGUGGUAGAUUGACGGUACUGUAGGAAUAAGGAUCGGCUAACUCCGUGCCAGCAGCCGCGGUAAUACGGAGGAUCCAAGCGUUAUCCGGAAUCAUUGGGUUUAAAGGGUCCGUAGGCGGUUUUGUAAGUCAGUGGUGAAAUCUGGUCGCUUAACGAUCAAACGGCCAUUGAUACUGCAAGACUUGAAUUAUUGGGAAGUAACUAGAAUAUGUAGUGUAGCGGUGAAAUGCUUAGAUAUUACAUGGAAUACCAAUUGCGAAGGCAGGUUACUAUCAAUAUAUUGACGCUGAUGGACGAAAGCGUGGGGAGCGAACAG